This 919-nucleotide unclassified non-coding RNA is filed under the name Hevea brasiliensis (rubber tree). The record is from RNAcentral. Lineage: Eukaryota; Viridiplantae; Streptophyta; Magnoliopsida; Malpighiales; Euphorbiaceae.
AGAAAACCCUAUCCCCAUAACAGAGGUAGCCCUAGGAUACCGAAAUAACACAGAUACCAAAAACAUGCAGCGCCGCGGGACCUCCUAAUAGCCGAAGCUGGAAUGGUAACUAGGAAAGAAGACAACGGAUGCUUCCACAGCUACAAAAGCCAACAAGCUUUGCUAAAACACCGUCUGGAGCUUUAAACCCAGGUAGCCACUGGACCUCAAAAUGCCCAACAUGCAUAGCCAUAUUGUCGGAGACUUCCAGAGAGGAUAGUGGGUAGAGCUCAUGUUCUCUCAAUUGCGUACUGAUUUGUUGAAAUAAUUCUUAUAAUCCAUUUUAAUUUAUGCUAUGCUUACUGUUUAGGUCUCCAAACUUGGUUUUGAAUUCUCUUAGAUUGUUUAGAAGCAAGAAAAAGUAAGUGGACUCUGAUACACUUUCUUUGUAACAUAAAUAAUAGUAAGGAAGUUUUUGUACAAACUUUUAUUCAAAUAUUUGUAAUAAUAUGAUAGGUAGUGGAUUAAGUGAAAAUUAUGCUUGAUGUUGGAUUUUACUUACAAAGGAUGUGAUAGCUUAAUCUCGCUUUUCUCCUCACAAACGAUUACCAGGUAGAACGAAGAUGAUUUUAAAUGUGAUGGUGAUGAUGCUUGAAGGUGCGGAGAAGAUUGAAGACUGUGUGUUGCUUAGUUUUAUUCAGUGGUUUUUCUUUCCGGUUCUUUGUGUGUUAGAGCUGCAAAUGAGUAUAUAUCAGCAGCAAUCUGGGCAUGCGGAGAGAUAUUCUAAGAUUGGCAAUAGAGUCAUGGAAUCAGUGCAAUGAGGUUGGAGAAGAAGUUCCUAAUAUGGGCAGUCUAAGAGCUGCAGAUUGCUUUGACACAUACAAGGCUUCUCAACAGACCUUCUGCCUUAUUUUUCUGGUUCUGUAUCUGUUCUUGUAAU